RNAcentral lists this long non-coding RNA (9179 nucleotides) under Solanum melongena (eggplant). Its description in RNAcentral is "long non-coding RNA (SMEL_LNC000021)". The stretch from base 6181 to 6338 matches the Rfam family "U1 spliceosomal RNA". The record is from RNAcentral. Lineage: Eukaryota; Viridiplantae; Streptophyta; Magnoliopsida; Solanales; Solanaceae.
UCCAAUCCAAGGUUGUUCAAAGAAUCACAUUACUCGUGUUCUCAAUACUUUACAACGCGAAAAAGACAAUCAGAAAUGAUAAAUAAAUCAAACUUACAAUUCUUUAUUUUGUAUCAAGAAAUCCUCGAGGGUCAGCUGGUGCAUAGUUUGAAACUCGAUGGAUUAAAUUAUCUCAUCAUCUACUUUGUCUUGAUCAACAGUUUGAAAAUCAAACCACAUCUUGGUUUUACAAAACUCCAUGAAGAAAUACCAAGCAAUGGCGAAAACAGUGAGCAUGGCACUAACUAUAUACACGGUCCUAUGGGCAACAAACAUAACAUAAACCAGAAAACAAGACGGAAUGAAGCACAUCACCACCAGUCCUGGCAUUGACAAUGGCACUCGAUAAGGCCUCUUAGCUUUAGGCAUUUUCCUCCUCAACCACAAAAACGAUGCAAACUCUAGCAGCAUCCCGAGACUAUACAAGAAAUUCACAGAUGACACAAUAUCUGUGAAUGUCAUGUAGGACACAACCAAUGCUACUAAUGUUGGUACAAGAAUCCCAACCCAAGGUGUGUUGAACCAUUCUGAUCUUACACCGAAAACCCGAGGCAACAACCCCAUCUCAGCCAUUCCAAGAAUUUGGUAAGCACAACUACUCAACUGAGCCUCAUACAAACCAAUCACAGACAGAACAAUCCCAAGUUCCAUCCAAUACUUCAACCAAUUCCCAGCAAUCAUAGAAGCCAAAUUAGCAAAAUAACCAUCAGUCCACUCACCUUGUUCCAAAGGGACAGCACCACUAGUACCCAAAAGCGGCAACACGUAACUAAUACAUGUAACAAUCCCAGCUGAAAAAAGUGCUUUAGGAAAUGUCUUUUGAGGUUGUUCAACUUCACCAGCUAAAGUACUAGCAUUAUCCCAAAAAUUCAAGUUCCAAAAAAGGGUAUUAAAGAACAAGUUCCAAUCUUUUUUAACACCCUUUUGGCCUAAACUCAACCAUCUACUAGGAUCAAUCUUUGGUAUUGAAAACAAUGUAAUUAACCAAAAGGGGCAAAGGGAAAGUACACCAAGAACAACAGCAGUGUAACCAACUAUAGACAAACCUAAGUAAUUCAAGAAUGACAAGAACAUAGAUAUGAAGAAAAUAGCAAUAUAUCUAGGUAAACCAGAAUCAAGAAUUGGGUAAAUCAAUUUAAUGUAAUCUAAACAAAGAACAGGGUAGGAAGCUAAGUUACAAACAGCACUAAGUAAUUUCCAAGAACCCAUUAAAGAACCCCAAAAGGGUCCAAAAGCUUUAUCAGCCCAAAUGACAAACCCUCCAUUACCUGGAAAAGUAGUGGCAAGUUCAGCUGUUACAAGAGCUUCAGGAACACUCCAUAUAAAUGGGAAAAUCAGAAACCCAAGAAUUGCUAGAAGAGGUCCAGCUGCCCCAAUUGCUGCUUCUGCACCAUAAGGUCCACCAGAUACCUCAAAAAAGAUUAUGAAAAUAAGUGGAACAAGAGCUAAUUUCUUGGAGUUUUUAGUGGGGGUGGGGUUGGGGGUAGUGGGUUUUUCUUCAUUUUCAAGAAGAUGUUGAGAUGAACAAGGAAUUUCAGUAGCUGUCAUGGUGUAAUUGCAAAGAAAAUGAGGAAAAAAGCUUUCUUUUUUUUGCCUCUUUUCAAAGAAGGGAAAGUGUUGGACUUUUUUUGUUUUUGUUUUGAAGAUCUUAGAUGCAAAGUUUGGUUACAUUUAUUAUUGUGAUCCAAAACUUUCUCUUUUUUAUUUUUGUUUUUCUUCUAUUCAAUUUUAAUAAUAGAUUGUCUUUCUUAUAAAAUAUGUCAUCUUUAAUUAUUAUAAGCAUUUUAUUCAUGGCCAAAAUGAUAUAUAAUAUAUCUCUUGUGAUAUCUAAUAUAAUACUCAAAAUCUUUUAUCGAAUCAAAGAUAAUAUCAAUUUUUUUUUGAAUUAGUCUCUUCACCUAUCGACAUACAACUCUUAAUAAGGUUAAUAGAUUUAGGCUUUUUUUCUCUCGACUUCUCAAAGUCAUAGAUUCAAUAGUGUCUUCUUAAAUGAGACAUUUCAUAUGAAUUUAGAUUAAUGAUUCGUAAAGAAAAUAUUAAAGAAAUAAAUUUAAUACUACAAAAGAAUCAUUUUUUCAAUCUCUCUUAAGUUAUAUUUUUCUAACUUUAGUUUCCGACUUAACAACUUCACUAAUUUUGGUAAUAUGUCGCCUACCUCUCACUAAUAUGGAUAACGGGCAACUUUGUCAAUCAAAUCAAUAAUUGCUUCAACUUGAAUAUGAAAUCGCUUUUAUUAAGAAGCAUUUACCUUUCAAAACGAGACUUUUUGACACAAAAGGUUCAAAUAUGAAUAUCAAGCACUGACUCUAAACCAAAAAAAUCUCAAAAUAAAAGAAGAAAGAGAAAAGGUUGAACAAGUAAAUUCACACAAGCUUCAUCACUAUUGUGUAGUUCCAUUUGGUUGGAGCAAAGUUUAGCACAACACACAGCCAAAAAGGGGAAAUUUCUCCUCUCAAGAACAUGUUGUUUUUGCAGAAUUGGGGCUAUCCAUCUACUGUUUCUUUACAAAACCCUUCAAUUUACAAAAACACAACAACCAAAAUCCUAGUAUUUCCCUGUCUUGGAAAAAAUGGUAGAUGUUUUUCUUACUCUUCUUUGACCAGUAAACCUUUGCCUAAGUUGUUGUGUCUUCAUGGGUUUGGUGUAGAAGACAUUACUGCUGUUGUCCAUAACAAGGUUAGUCACUCUACUUCAUAGGUUUGCUAAAAAGUUGCAAUCUUUUUUCAAUUCUUGAUGUUUCUAAGGUUCUUUUGUGUAAAGAUUGUGUUUUUAUGUAUCAAUUGGGGUAAAGUUCAGUUGGUUUGUCAUUGUUUAUGGUGAUAGUUUGAGGGUCAGUUUCAGAUAGAUGAUUAAAUUAACUUGCAAUUUGUUUGAAUGGUUGUUACUUAUAAUGUGUGUACACUUGUCAAUUAGAUCCCAAUUGGUUGUGUUCUUUCCAUUUGUCCAAAAGCCUUGGGUGGAUAGACUUUUCUCGUUACGUUACAUGUGUUGGUGGGAGCUAGUAUGUACAAGUGGAAUUAGUUGAGGUGUGUGCGAGCUGGUUCAAACACAAGUGUUAAUAAAACAAGCAAAAACAGAAUCCCAAAUUGGUUGGAUAUACACUAUGUUGUAAAAGUUGGUUUCUUUCUGUAUCAAUUGAGCUAAAGUUUAGUUGGAUUGUUAUUGCAAAUGGUGAGACAUAAUGCUUCAAUUUACAAGAACUCAACAAGCAAAAUCCUAGUAUUUCCCUGUCUUGGAAAACAUGGUAGAUGUUUUUCUUACUCUUCUUUGACCUAUAAACUUUUGCUUAAGUUGUUGUGUCUUCAAUCUUCAUGUGUUUGAAAUAGAAGACUUUACUAACGUUAUUCGUAACAAGGUAAGUCACUCCACUUCAUAGCUUCUUAGGUUCCAAUUUUUGAAUUGGUUUGAUAUCCAUUAAGUUUGGUGAAAGUUGAACGAUGUCUCAUCUGAUUCUUGUUCCAGGCUUUUGUCUAAUUGGACUUAAUGUUUAUGUAAAGGUCAAGUUUGCAAAAUGAUCAUCAGAAGUAACACAAAACAAAAUAGUGCAAGAUGUCCAUUUAGUCUUUGUUUUUGGAUAGUUAAAUUAUGUCACCAUAAUGGCUAUGCGACAAUGUUUUGGAUGGGGAAAGGUGACAAAAGGCGAUAAGGGGCCAAACUAACAUCAUCUUUGUCGCCAUUGUCCCCUCACCAAAGCUAAUAGUCGAUGAAGGUUCGCCUUGCCUCACGCCAUUGGGGACCAGAUGAUUAUUUUUCACAACGGUGCUAUGCGAUCAGCUCAGAUGUCAAGCAAGAACUCUCUGAUGUUUCUCUUUAAUUACUGUGUUAGGAACUCUGUACGAGCUCUACUUAUUUGGUACCUAUUCCAGAAAAUGGCUCGACGUCUCUCAAAUUGAAACAUCGAUUUCAUUAAUAUGUAGACAUAUGUCUCAGAAAUCAGAUUGUUGUAUGAUGGUAUGCCUUUAGAUGUUAUUUAUUUGUUUGAUCCAUCCCACAGGUUUUGGUUGCAGCAGCUGUAUCUGCAGCAGUUGGUCAGCUAAUGAAGCCUUUUACUUCAUCUCUAUUGUAUGGCAAUGAGUUCAAUUUCAAGACUGCCUUUCAGGCUGGGGGUUUCCCUUCGACACACUCAUCUGUAAGAUUUUUAUCUUUCUAUCUUUGUGCAACCUUGUAUAACUUCACCUAUCAUUUACCCAUCUGCUUUCUAAGCCAAUGUUUUACGAUAAACUGAUCAACGUUUCAAUCCCAGAUUAGUCUAUGAUAAAAGAAAAUUUAGUUAUUCACAAAGUAGCAGCUUUAUUGCCUUUUCGUUUCUGCUAUGUUGCUCGGACUCUCCAACAAUGUUGCCGCACUCAUGUCGGAUCCUCCAAAUAUGCACUACUUUUGGAGGAUCCAACACAGACCUGGCAACAUUUUUGAAGAGUCUGAGCAGCAUGCCAUUUCUGUCUAGUAUCUCAUUUAAUUUCAUCUACUUACAAAUGACAGGCAGUAGUCGCCACAGCCACUGCCCUUGGCUUGGAAAGGUAUUUACUCCUUUUCUAUUUUCCUCAAAAGGAAGUUACGCGUGAAUUAGAGCUUUUGAGAAAACAUUUAGUGUUGCAAUCAAUUCUCUUUUCUUGGCUAGUUUCUGUUUUCUAGCUAUGAGUGACAUGCUCUUAGUGCCGUAACUGCAGGGGGUUUUCUGAUUCGAUUUUUGGUUUAGCAGUGGUUUACGCAGGCCUUGUGAUGUAUGAUGCACAGGUAUGCAACAAAAUUUUAGUGUUUUCAGUCAUUUACCUAGUUAAACAGAUGUGAACCUAUUAUCUUUUCAAACAAAGGCUAUACGAGUUGAGCUAAGUUUCUCUUUGUGCUAUUAUGUUGUUGAAUUCGGACUCUAAAAUGUUGUCAUACCCAUGUCUGAUCUUUAAAAUGCACUACCUUUGGAGAUUCAUACGCACCCGACAAUAUUAUCCAAGAGUCCAAGCAACAUAGCGUAAAAGUGUAAAUUUUCCAGAAAAUGCAAAGCCUAAAAUAAUAGGCACCAUACCAUCAUAUCUACCGUAGUAUAGAUUCGACUAUAUGUAUUAUCUGAUUCUUGUAAGGUAUAUAUGGUUCGUGCUAUUCUUAAGUUUAUCGGAUCACAUCAGCCUUGGCCUGGAUCAUCACGGGGAUGAUACAAAUCCAACUGCUUGAACAUUUUGUUUCAUUUUCAGCUCCUACUCAUGUUUAGACACUAUCUUACAUUCAAAACUUGAACCAAAUCCUUCACGCUUCACCAGAUCGAUGUCCCUGCUAAUUAAUAUUCUAGGCCAAGUUUAAUCUAUUACACUCAGACUCUCCAAAAAAGAUGUUGCAUCUGUGUGGAUCCUUCAAAAAUACACUAUUUUGUAGGAUAUGACAUGCACCUUGCAACAUUUUUAAUAGUCCGAUCAACAUAAGGUUCAAUUUCAACUGAAAAAUUGCAUUGGUAAAAAAAUUUUGUUCUUCCUUUUUCUUGCUUUAUACACCUGGUUUGUCUCACCGUCAACAUGUUGCUUCUGUAGGGAGUCCGAAGGGAAGUAGGCAUUCAUGCAAAAGCGUUCAAUAAAGCUUUGUUCAGAAAUCAAAUAAACUCAGUUCCGUCUACUAGCGAACUUGAUGUUUUGACUGAUUCUAUACAAGAGAAAUUAUCCUCAGAGGCAGAGAACUCUGAUCCUCAAAUAUCAGAGGAAUCAAGUUCAUUUCAACCAAGAUCAAAGAAUGCUACUUUAUUGCUUAAACCCGAUGAGAGAAGAGCCCCAUCGUCUAGUUUUGCUCCGUUGAAAGAACAGGUUGGUCAUACAGAGGUCGAAGUCAUAGCUGGUGCAUUUCUCGGAUUCUUUGUAAGCUUAGCGGUAAGUUUAGCAUGACCCCUCAGUACUCAGUAGUCCUCAUUGUUUACUUCGCCUUAUUUUUUGGUCUAUGAGAUACCACAGAAAAACUGUAUACAACAUAUUUACGAUGCAAAAUGCAACUAAAAUCCCUCUAUAAAUUAAAAUAUUAAGAAAAAAUUUACUAGCUUUGCCUUCAUGUGACCUUUGUAUGCAAUUCUUGGGUGAAUCGUGCUUUUGUAACCUGAUGUUGAUCUUGAUAGUAGCACUAGAUGGACGGUUUGAACUGACUUCAGUGCAGAAAGCACAAUCCACCUAUUGACUUACCUGGACGGCAUCAAUGGGUGAUCAACAAGACCUAUGGCCUAGGUUGGUGAACUCCAUUACACUUGGGAGGGGUGCCAGCUCAAGUUGUCGAGCCUACAUCGAUACAUCAUAAUUUGUGGUAGUGGGAGUCUGCAUUCUCGCAGACCCUAUUCGAUACUGAAUCUAGAAAAGAAGAAAAUGUGCAUGUUCAUGCUGGUGCUAGUCUUGGUAUGUAUAACCCGAAGAGUUAAUUGUCAAAAAUAUAUAUGACCUAUCAUUUUUCAUGAGUUUCACACUCCAACUAUCGGUUAUUCUCUUCUCGUUUUCUUUUUUUUGUCUGAUCUAUCACCAUAUGUGCUACUAACUAUUAGUAACUGGGAUUAAAUAUUAAGUGGAUUUAGUUACUUGAAAAAUGAUUAGGCUACUAAUACAACAACUACAAUAACAUAUCCAUUGUAAUUCUAUAAAUGGAGUAUGGGAAGGUGUAAUGACCCUCUAGGUCAUUUGAGUAUUCGUGUGUCUUCCUUUUGUCGUUUAGAGCAUUCCAAUAGCAACCUCAAGUAUUUUGUGAAAUGUUGAGACUUACAGUUCGGUCACUUAUCCGUUUGUUUGGUUUUAUGCGAAUUUCUGUAUUUGUAAAAGUCUUGUACUCUUAUUUUGAUUAGAUGAUCGAUUACUGACUGAUGUUUUCAGGUCUUGGUGAUGUUGCAUUUCUGAUUAUCACCAUAUUCUUUGCUUUGUUAUAAGUUUUUUGCUUCUUAUUGUUGACUUUUGCUUGAUAGUCUGUUGCUUAUGGUUUCGAUCUAUGAGUUAGGCUUACCUACUAGUAGGAUGUAGUAGGUGUCAUCGUGAUCUAAGAAGUUAGGUCGUGACAAUCUGAUAGUUUGUUAGUAGAUCUUUACCCUUACCAAUUACCAUGUGUGAGGUAAAGAGGUUGUUUUCAAAAUACUAUCGGCUCACGUAAAAUAAUUCAAAUAGGUUUGAAAAAAGCUCAAGUAAUUACAUUAACAGUGUGAUUCCACAAUUAAUUCUUUGGAUUGUUUUUCCUCGAGUAAAUUAUCGAAAACAGUCUCUUUACCUCAAAGUUAGAGAUAAAAUUUGUGUAUAUUUUACCCUCCCCAAACUCCACUUUGUGAGAUUAUACUUAGAUACAUUAUUGUUGUUGCAGUGUAUAGUUGUUAAAUCCUAAAGUAUAACAUACAAAAGAAGAAAAUUGAUAAUGAAUAUGACAAAACAAAAACAUAUCUUUUACCUUCAAAUUCUUUGAGAGCUAAAAGUGUAUAUUCUUUUUCCAUAUAUGAAGUCUACAUCAAUUAAAAGUCUUCACAAAUCACAACUGAAUUUCCAUUCCAAAAGCAAUGGGAAAAAGGAAAAAAAAAACUAACUAGAAAAGACAAAAAAAAAUCCAUUCCCACUUGUCUAUAUAUAAAUUAUUCUAACAUAAAUAUCACCAUCAACCUAUAGUGUUCAACUUUAGCCAACUUCUUUUGACUUGCACAAAACUUCAUCAAAAAUACCAUCUUACCCCUUAAGUCAUCAACUAAGUUUGAUGCGAGAUUCGUGAAAAAGUGAUAGUUCAAGUGUGUUUUUCAUCACAAUCUGUUAUUCUUAAGUAACAAAGAUUAAACUAUUAGAGGAGAUGUGUGUAAGUUACAUACUUAAAAAUCAUUUUCCAACAAAGUUUGCAAUGGGGUGGAUGAGUUUUCUUUCGAGCCCUGAAUAUGAAAAAAAAAAAACUAUUCAAGAGCAAUUUCCCCUUGGCCUUACACAAUGCGAGUUAGGAUUAAUUAAGAAUCCAAUAUAAGUAUCGAACAUCAAUGAAAUACCAAAAGGAAGUAUAAAAGAACAAAAAGAAAAUUGAGAAAAUGAACAAGUCAAAGCUUGUGGUGGUUGUUAGGAGGACAUCCAAGCUUGUAAUUGUCCUCGAUCAUAUUGUGAUUGGAUGGAUAAGAUCUCUUUUUAGCUCUCUAUUCGGAAGCACUAUCCCCCUUAAAUAAGCCUUACACAAAUGCGAGUCCAGAUUAAUUAAGGACUGAAUACAGAUAUCGAACAUCGAUGGAGAACCAAAAGGAAGUACAAAAAGACAAAAGAAAAUUUUAGAGAAUGAAUAGGACAUUUUUGCAUUCAAUUCUUUCUCAAAAGAAGCAACAUCUUACCAAUAUAUGAAGUCAUAUCAUAUCUAUGAAAAUACAAAUUUAAAAAAAAAAAAAAAAAAAGAAGAUAAAAGUCAUACACCAACUACCUCCCUAUUGAUUACAUUUACUCAACAUAUGUAUCAUCUACCUUAUCAUUGAACUUCAACAACUUCUUUGACUUACAAAAAUUCAUCAAAAAGUACCAUCCAAUUCCUCCAAUAGUCAUCAAUCCACUAAUCAAAUACACAAGCUUUGUUGCUAUAGCCAUGAUGAAUACCAAAAAACCACAUGGAAUCAAACACAUAAUCACCAAUAGUGGCAAUCUCAUUGGUACUCUAUAAGGCCUUUUAAUCAAUGGAAACUUCCUCCUCAACCAAAGAAAUGAUGCAAACUCCAAAAGCAUACCUAAACUAUACAAGAAAUUUGCACUAGAAAUAAUAUCUUGAAAAUCCAUAUAACUCAUCCCAAGUGAUAUAGUUGUUGACAACACAAUCCCAACCCAAGGUGUAUUAAACCAUUUAGACCUUAGUCCAAAAAACUUAGGUAAAAAAGCAAUCUCAGCCAUACCCAAAAUUUGAAAUGCUGAACUACUCAAUUGAGCUUCAAACAAUCCAAUGGUAGACAACACAGCACCAAUCUCAAUCCAAAACUUCAACCACUUCCCUGAUAUCAUCUCCGCGGCGUUAGCCAUAAACCCUGUAUCCCAAUCGCGUUGAUCCACGUCUACCGCCCCCGUAACAGCCAUAAGUGGUAUAAUAUACCCUAAACAAGUGAACACUACACUAGAAAAAAGUGCUAAAGGAAAUGUCUUUCUUGGAUUUUCAACUUCACCAGCCAUAGUACUAACAUUAUCCCAAAAAUUCAAGUUCCAAAAAAG